RNAcentral lists this long non-coding RNA (360 nucleotides) under Fragaria vesca (wild strawberry). RNAcentral's name for it is "long non-coding RNA (FVES_LNC001944)". Lineage: Eukaryota; Viridiplantae; Streptophyta; Magnoliopsida; Rosales; Rosaceae. The record is from RNAcentral.
CACUCCCACCGCAGAUGAUCAACCUCGGCCUGAAAUCCAAGGCCUUCUCCUCCAGCUUAUCGUAAUCAAUGUAACCAGUUGUGUUGUUCACCUUGUAGGGAAGAGACUCGAAGUAGAUCGACGUGGCCGAGAUCUUCUUGCCGCCGGAGGUGUAGUAUCCAUGGGUCAAGUGACCGCCGGAGGGGAGGUCAAGGCCCAUGAUGCGGUCGUGGGGGUUGAGGACGGCGGUGUAGGCGGCGAAGUUGGCGGGGGAGCCGGAGUAGGGUUGGACAUUGACGCCCCAUUGAGACGCGUCGAGGUGAAACGCCUUGAGGGCGCGUGCGCGGCAGAGAUUCUCGAUCUCGUCGAUGAACUCGUUGC